Molecule: ribosomal RNA, 457 nt
Filed under: uncultured bacterium
Lineage: Bacteria
Description: SSU rRNA
Rfam family: Bacterial small subunit ribosomal RNA
Source: RNAcentral
AGAAUCAACGCUGGCGGCGUGCCUAACACAUGCAAGUCGAACGAGAAAGUGGAGCAAUCCAUGAGUAAAGUGGCGCACGGGUGAGUAACACGUGACUAACCUACCCUUGAGUGGGGGAUAACCUAGAGAAAUCUGGGCUAAUACCGCAUAAUACCUUCGGGUCAAAGGAGCAAUUCGCUUAAGGAGGGGGUCGCGGCCGAUUAGUUAGUUGGCGGGGUAAUGGCCCACCAAGACUGUGAUCGGUAUCCGGCCUGAGAGGGCGCACGGACACACUGGAACUGAAACACGGUCCAGACUCCUACGGGAGGCAGCAGUGGGGAAUUUUGCGCAAUGGGGGAAACCCUGACGCAGCAACGCCGCGUGGAGGAUGAAGCCCUUGGGGCGUAAACUCCUUUCGAUCGGGAAGAUAAUGACGGUACGAGAGAAGAAGCCCGGCUAACUUCGUGCCAGCAGCCGC